UGGCUCUCGCAUCGAUGAAGAACGCAGCGAAAUGCGAUAAGUAAUGUGAAUUGCAGAAUUCAGUGAAUCAUCGAAUCUUUGGACGCACCUUGCGCUCCCUGGUAUUCCGAGGAGCAUGCCUGUUUGAGUGUCUUGAAGUCAUCAACCCGACCCGUUUUCUUGCGGUGCGGCGUUGGAACUGGGGCGUGCCGCCGCGAGGCGGCUCCCCUCAAAUGUGUCGGCUGGACCCGCGGGUCGAGAUCGAAAGGGCGUUGUACCAUCCUCGCUCGCUCGUAGACCCCAUGCGACGGGACCGACCAAGGCCGCCUCUUCCUGGGUGGCGGCCACUAUCUCUGAAAUCUGACCUCAAAUCAGGUAGGACUACCCGCUGA
Molecule: unclassified non-coding RNA, 371 nt
Filed under: uncultured fungus
Lineage: Eukaryota; Fungi
Description: partial contains 5.8S ribosomal RNA and internal transcribed spacer 2
Rfam family: 5.8S ribosomal RNA (bases 1-133)
Source: RNAcentral